UAGGGUUUCCUUGAGGGACUUUUCUUAGCUGUAUGCACCAGCACCUAUUAGGAGGAUUGAUGCUAUCUGGAUUUGACGAAUUGCAGCCCACCCCAUGGUGAGGAUUUUUCUUUGGAAGCUGGCCUGGAAUUGGCUUCCUACUCGAGCUCUUCUUAGGGAUAGGGGCAUGGAGAUUCUGACCUCUUGUCCUAUUUGUGGGAUAGAGGAUGAGUCUAUGGAGCAUGCUAUGUUACGCUACACGAGGACGAGGGUCAUUUGGUGACAG
Molecule: long non-coding RNA, 265 nt
Filed under: Elaeis guineensis (African oil palm)
Lineage: Eukaryota; Viridiplantae; Streptophyta; Magnoliopsida; Arecales; Arecaceae
Description: long non-coding RNA (EGUI_LNC010431)
Source: RNAcentral